This 77-nucleotide transfer RNA is filed under the name Tenacibaculum sp. MAR_2009_124. RNAcentral's name for it is "tRNA_Met_CAT". It matches the Rfam family "tRNA". From Rfam's summary of the family: Transfer RNA (tRNA) molecules are approximately 80 nucleotides in length. Lineage: Bacteria; Pseudomonadati; Bacteroidota; Flavobacteriia; Flavobacteriales; Flavobacteriaceae. The record is from RNAcentral.
GGCGAGGUAGCUCAGGUGGUUAGAGCGCAGGAUUCAUAACCCUGAGGUCGGGGGUUCAAGUCCCCCUUUCGCUACGA